This 364-nucleotide ribosomal RNA is filed under the name uncultured Archaeorhizomycetes. Its description in RNAcentral is "eukaryotic LSU rRNA". It matches the Rfam family "Eukaryotic large subunit ribosomal RNA", at positions 70 to 432 of the family's 3401-position model. The record is from RNAcentral. Lineage: Eukaryota; Fungi; Ascomycota; Archaeorhizomycetes.
AGGGAUUCCCCCAGUAGUGGCGAAUGAAGCGGGAAAAGCUCAAGUUUGAAAUCUGAAGUCCACUUCAGAGUUGUAAGCUGAAGAGGUGUCGACCGACUUGGUCCGGGCCCAACUUCCUUGGAACAGGAGGUCAUGGAGGGUGAGAACCCCGUCUGUGGCUCGGGUGCCGUAGUCCUUGUGUCGUGCCCUCGAAGAGUCGGGUUGUUUGGGAAUGCAGCUCAAAAUGGGUGGUAAAUUUCAUCUAAGGCUAAAUAUUGGCGAGAGACCGAUAGCAAACAAGUAGAGUGAUCGAAAGACGAAAAGUACUUUGAAAAGAGAGUGAAACAGUACGUGAAAUUGUUGAAAGGGAAGCGUUUGGCAUCAG